RNAcentral lists this ribosomal RNA (507 nucleotides) under Lype reducta. RNAcentral describes it as "bacterial SSU rRNA". It matches the Rfam family "Eukaryotic small subunit ribosomal RNA", at positions 624 to 1101 of the family's 1831-position model. The record is from RNAcentral. Lineage: Eukaryota; Metazoa; Arthropoda; Insecta; Trichoptera; Psychomyiidae.
AAGCUCGUAGUUGAAAUUGUGUCCCGCGGCGUCGGUCUACCGAUUGUGGUACGACAGGCGCGUCUGCGGGGCUUCUCGCCGGUGCGUGUUCACCGUCGUGGAUUGCGUCGGCACGCAAGUGUCUUCGUCGUCUCGACGGGCCCUCGCGGCUGUUUACUUUGAACAAAUUAGAGUGCUCAAAGCGGGCUAUUAUUUGCCUGAAUAUUGUGCGCAUGGAAUAAUAGAAUAGGAUCUCGGUUCUGUUUUGUUGGCUUUCUGAUACCAGAGGUAAUGAUUAAUAGGGACAACUGGGGGCAUUCGUAUUGCGACGUUAGAGGUGAAAUUCUUGGAUCGUAGCAAGACGGACUAAAGCGAAAGCAUUUGCCAAAGGUGUUUUCAUUAAUCAAGAACGAAAGUUAGAGGUUCGAAGGCGAUUAGAUACCGCUGUAGUUCUAACCAUAAAUGAUGCCAGCCAGCGAUCCGCCGGAUUUUUUAAUUUGAUUCGGUGGGCAGCUCCCGGGAAACCAA